GGCACCCUCUGGGACGGGGUGCACUUGGAGGUCCCAGUAGGUAACGCUGUCGCAGUCUGGCGGCUCAUUUCUGAGGGCGGGGGCGCGCCU
Molecule: long non-coding RNA, 90 nt
Organism: Myotis brandtii (Brandt's bat)
Lineage: Eukaryota; Metazoa; Chordata; Mammalia; Chiroptera; Vespertilionidae
Exons: 3
Source: RefSeq, a predicted model, not a curated record